UUUAUUAUGUAUGUAAUACUCAUGUGUAAUAUAUAUAUAUAUAUAUAUUGAACAUAAAUUGAGAAAACCAUUAAUACAUAAAUGCAGAAAACCAUUACAUAAGCCAUUUACCAGUUACAUUUUCCAUGUAAAUGUUUAAUAUAGUAGCUAUGUGAUUACAGUACUUUGCAUUCAUAGCACUGAAUCAAAUUUCAUCACAUUAUUU
Sinocyclocheilus rhinocerous is the source of this 205-nucleotide long non-coding RNA. RefSeq lists it as uncharacterized. The transcript is spliced from 3 exons. NCBI's taxonomy places the organism in Eukaryota, Metazoa, Chordata, Actinopteri, Cypriniformes, Cyprinidae. The record is from RefSeq and is a predicted model, not a curated record.